AUGUGGAUGCAGAGAACAAAAUUUGAGGGCUGCCCAAUCAAUACCCGCUUUUGCGGGGACGCGGAGUUUCUGCACCCGAGCUCAAAUGAGCCCGGGCGAACAGUAAAAUCAAAACUAAAUCAAAAAAAUUUCAAAAAAACCAAAUUUUUUUUGGGAGAAACAUUGACAAAAAUUUUAAGUACUUGCAAAAAUUCAUCACGAAAUCACAUUUCUAGAAGGCGUGGCAAAAAAAACAAAAUCAGUACUCUGAAAAAGCUACUUUCAACAGCAUUUUGGAGCACUGAAUUUGUUUUUUUUGCCACGCCUUACAGGAAUGUGAUUUCAUGA
This 327-nucleotide ribosomal RNA is filed under the name Triticum aestivum (bread wheat). RNAcentral's name for it is "partial small subunit ribosomal RNA". Lineage: Eukaryota; Viridiplantae; Streptophyta; Magnoliopsida; Poales; Poaceae. The record is from RNAcentral.